This 406-nucleotide ribosomal RNA is filed under the name uncultured bacterium. Its description in RNAcentral is "partial 16S ribosomal RNA". It matches the Rfam family "Bacterial small subunit ribosomal RNA", at positions 30 to 526 of the family's 1533-position model. The record is from RNAcentral.
AUUGAACGCUGGCGGCAGGCCUAACACAUGCAAGUCGAACGAGUGGCGGACGGGUGAGUAAUGUCUGGGAAACUGCCUGAUGGAGGGGGAUAACUACUGGAAACGGUAGCUAAUACCGCAUACCCUCAGAUGUGCCCAAAUGGGAUUAGCUUGUUGGUGGGGUAACGGCUCCCCAGGGCGACGAUCCCUAGCUGGGCUGAGAGGAUGACCAGCCAACCUGGAACGGAGACACGGUUCAGACUCCGACGGUAGGCAGCAGUGGGGAAUAUGGCACAAUGGGCGCAAGCCUGAUGCAGCCAUGCCGCGUGUAUGAAGAAGGCCUGCGGGUUGUAAAGUACUUUCAGCGGGGAGGCGUUACCCGCAGAAGAAGCACCGGCUAACUCAGUGCCAGCCGCCGCGGUAAUAC